AAGUGGUACUGGGAUGGAACCCAGGGCCUCAUCCAUGCUAGGCAAGUAUUCUACCAGCUGAGCCACACCCCAGCCCCAGGAACUCCAUAGUUAAGAUAGAUUCUUCCUUAUGUGUGUCCAUCUUCUUACUGACCAUUUCAGGGUAUGAGUACUGCCCUCUCCUGUCAGUGCAGGCAGCUGCUUGUGUCACGUUCAUAUGCCCUGGCAAUGACAGCUCACCAAUGAGUGGCUGAAGUCAUCACUGUGGUCUGGGAGCUGUUCCUCCCAGAUCUCACCAGAGGAGUCCUUGAGGCCAAACAUGAAGACAAGAGGAUUGAUGUGUCUGUAUUUCGCCUCUCUUUGUCACCCUGAUGGUUUUAUACAAGCCCCGAAUCAGCGGCACACAGGCCCAGACACACAGAGUAGAAAGCAUAGGCUGGGCCAAGCUCUUUUGCACAGGUUGGGCCCCGUCACUGGAGAGCCCUUCUACACUGAGCUGCAUGCUCGUUCCUGGUCAUCUGGAGCCAGGAGGAGGGUGAAUGUUUCUGAUGUUCCUUCUGCUCAGGCAUGGGGAUGUCAAAAGAAUGAGAUUUAAGUUCGCUGUCUAAGCCACAGAGGUGGUGUUUGGAGCCCCCUCCACUGAGAAUGGGUGGGUAAGCAGCAUUUAGAUGCUGGAUUGUGGGUAGUUUUCUUAAACCGAUCUACCUAUCUCUGUUUCCUGACCUCUAAGAUGAAGAUAACAUCUGCCCAUAUGGCUGCUGAGGCAGUGAGUACCUAUGGGGACCUGUGUGAUGCCAGGUGCCUGGGAAGCUUGGGGCACUCGUUAGUUGUUUGUCUCAUCUUGUCUCAUCUUGCUCCCCAGUUCCCUCUCUCAGGGCACAAGACCAAGUUUUCAUUGCCCAUUGAGGUAAAGAAACCUAGGUGAAGAGAGUCUAGGGCAGCCUCUCCACCUCUGCCACAUGAUCACUCUGGGAGGUGGGAUUUGCCUCGGGAUCCUGAAGGCUGGGCUCUGGGCCAGCUGUUGGGGUCUCCGAGCUGCAUUCAACACUUUUAGACAUUUCUAAUGCAUCACCACUGUGACCCCAGCUGAUGAAAAAGUGCUUCUCGACUGCCUAUUUAUCAUUGUCCCCUGCAUGAACAGUUCCACAGGCACCAGACAGGUGAAGCUUUGAUUGGCAAGCGUGAUUGGCACCCAGAGGACACUAUCCAAAUCCAGAUCCACUCCUUAACCAUGGUGGCUGUGAGUAUGCCAGCAUGGUGCCUGGAUGAGGUCUUUGCGCCUCUACCCUGGUACACUUGCUAACCCCCCUCCUCCUUCUCAGCCGUCUGCAUUUUCCAGACCAACAAUUCACAUCCUGUUCCAUAUUUCAAUCACAAGGUGCCAUGGCAGACUUCAAAGCAUGUCAGCGCAUAGUUAAGAGUCUGAGGAAAACAUGUCAGUGGACGCCGAGCUUUACACGUCACCCGUCACAGGGACAAUGUUCUAGUCUCUUGAGUCAUGCUGUCAAGUAGGCUGCUGAUUUCCAAAGCUUCAUUAAGAAAAGCCCAUGGCCUUUCCUGAUGGUCACAUCAGUGUUCUCAGGACUACCUGCUCCCUGGAAGGACCCAGCGCUGCCUGGCUUCCUCCAUGGCUCAAUGAAGGAUAAAAAUGGAAACUGACCACUGAAUGGAAGGAAUCUGAGUACAUAUGAUGGGAGAGAAUCACAAAUCAUUCAAGUUCAUUAGGAGCCUGAGCAUGUGGGGAGCUCUGAGAUGAUCAUCCCAUUUCCUCAAACUGCCUACGUCUCAUGGGAAAUUUAGGGACCAACCUCUACAUGCCACAAAGUCCUAUUUAUAGAAUUUCUCUUAUGCUCAUUCUUCUUUGUGACAAAAAGGAGCAGCUCCCCCGCCAGAGAGGUUUCUAUAAGGUCUAUGCAAACUCAGCCUCAGCCAGGUUGGUCCUCCUGGGAAAAUGCAUCUUAAGAAACACAAGGCUGAAGCUGGGCGUUGGUGG
Molecule: non-coding RNA, 1972 nt
Organism: Cricetulus griseus (Chinese hamster)
Lineage: Eukaryota; Metazoa; Chordata; Mammalia; Rodentia; Cricetidae
Source: RefSeq, a predicted model, not a curated record